UAAAAAUUUAUGAUUUAAAAAUUUUAUUUUAAGUUUAAUUUACAUGUAAAUUUUUGUGUAAACUUUAUUGUAUUUUAAAAAUAUAAUGAUUAAUUUAAUAGUAAUUAAAAUUAAAAAUUUAAGAAAUUAAGAUUUAGAAAUUUUAUAAUAAAUAACAAAUUUUGUGCCAGCAGUUGCGGUUAUACAAAAAUUUAAAUAAAUUUUAUAAAUAAUAAUAAAUAUUUAAAAUUAAAUUAAAAAGAAAAUUAUUAAGUGAAAUUUUUAUUUUUAAAAAAUUUAUAAAAAAUAUGUGAAUUAAAAAAUUUUAUUUAUAAACUAGGAUUAGAUACCCUAUUAUAAAAAAUUAAUUUUUUAAUAUUAAAAUAGUAAAUGAUUUUAUAUUGAAACUUAAAUAAUUUGGCGGUAUUUUAGUUUAUUUAGAGGAAUCUGUCUAAUAAUUGAUAAUCCACGAAUAAUUAUAUUUAAUUUAAAAUUUUAUAUAUCGUUGUAAAAAAUAUUUUUUAAAAAUAAAUAAUAUUUAAAAAUUUUAAAUAAAAAUUAAUUCAGAUCAAGAUGUAGAUAAUAAUUAAAAUUUAAGAUGGAUUACAAUAUAAAAAUAUAAAUGGAAAAUAAUUUUGUAAUAAGUAUUAGAAAGUGGAUUUAAAUGUAAUUUUAAAUAAUUUUUUAAAAUGAUUAAAAAUUAAAAUAUGUACAUAUUGCCCGUCACUUUCAUUUUAAAAUUGAAAUAAGUCGUAACAAAGUAGAAGUACUGGAAAGUGUUUCUAGAAAGA
RNAcentral lists this non-coding RNA (770 nucleotides) under Delias berinda. Lineage: Eukaryota; Metazoa; Arthropoda; Insecta; Lepidoptera; Pieridae. The record is from RNAcentral.